This 111-nucleotide ribosomal RNA is filed under the name uncultured bacterium. RNAcentral's name for it is "partial 16S ribosomal RNA". It matches the Rfam family "Bacterial small subunit ribosomal RNA", at positions 1373 to 1482 of the family's 1533-position model. The record is from RNAcentral.
CCCGGGCCUUGUACACCACCGCCCGUCACACCACGAAAGUUGGUAACACCCGAAGCCAGUGGCCCAACCAUUUGGAGGGAGCUGUCGAAGGUGGGACCAGCGAUUGGGGUG